RNAcentral lists this long non-coding RNA (1876 nucleotides) under Aquilegia coerulea. RNAcentral's name for it is "long non-coding RNA (ACOE_LNC000906)". Lineage: Eukaryota; Viridiplantae; Streptophyta; Magnoliopsida; Ranunculales; Ranunculaceae. The record is from RNAcentral.
AAUAGCUUGAGAAACUAAAAAAAAAACUAAAAAAAAAAUCCCGAUUUAUCUCUGUUUUCUGUGACUUAUCUCUCUCUCUCUCUCUUCAGCCUCUCCCCCAUCUACUCUCAUCGCCUCAAUCCUAAACCUUUACUUGGAUUUGUCUUGGAGAAUACUCAGGUAAUUUUAUUUUUAGAUGAAUUUCGAUUAGUAUGUGAAUUAGAUAAUUGGAUUGAAUGUUUGAUUCCAAAAUUGUUUUUUGAUUGGGUUUCCCUUCUUGUGAUUAAUUUGUUGAUUGAGUUUGCUAAGUAUAGUUAAUUAUCAAACUCUAGUUUUAGAAACAUGAUAAUUAGAAUAUAAAACAAAGAAAAACUCACAAUUGCAUCAGAAAAAAUGAACUAAGUACUAUAUCCAUACUAGAUUGGGUAUGAUAUUUGCUGCUGGUGUAUCCCCUAACUGGUUCGAUGAAAACUCUUCUAGGUUAUUGAUCAUUGAACGGGUAGGUAUAAUUCUCCGUAAGUUGUAGAAAUAUUUUGCAGGCUGCUAAUCCCAAUAAAAACUCUUCUAGGUUAUAUCCAUACUAGAUUGGGUAGGUAUAAUUCUCUGUAAGUUGCUUCUCACUUAUGAGAAAGACAAUAUCUUUAUGCACAGCAUGCUCGUAUCGACAUACAGUACUUCAUCUGAUUGGUAGUAUUAGUUUCUUUGUUAUCAUGGUACUUAAUUAUGUAAGUUAACAUUUAGAAGCAGUUUUACUAAAUUGAUCACUACUUGAUAGUUGAUGCAAUUUGUAAUCGAAUUUUAAGAAAUUUGAUUUAUUGGUCGAUUUACCGUUUGUAGUUGACAAAUUUUAUCGAUUAAUAUUGAAUCAUGACGAAGAGUCGUCUUUAGUUGACAAAGAAGAAGUAGCAGAAAUUUGGAAUGAAUUUCAGUCUUGCGUAGUCUGAAGUUCAUGGUCGGAUGAAAGUCUUCCUGUUCUCCGAUCGAGUUGAAAUUUUUACAGUAGUUGCAUAACGUCUAAUUCAAUAAUAUGUUAAAAUAUCGUGAUCAUCCAAAGGUUGGAUUGUCAGAAAUAAAUAAAACGGAAUUACUGUUCAUCAGUGACAGUAUUUCGAAUUUUGAGUUAAACAAAAAUUUGGUUACUCUGUAAGUUGGGGGUAUAAUUCUCUGUAAGUUGUAGAAAUAGUUUUCAUUCCAUAUCAGCCUGCAAAAUAUUUCUACAAAUACCAGAUGCGCAGUCUUGUGUAACCCUUUUUAUGUUAUCAACAGCUUGCUUCAAGUCUGAACAGAUGCGCAGUCUUGUGUAACCCUUCUUAUGUUAUUCUUUACAUUGGGAUUGUUAAUUUUAUUUUUCAAUAAAAUCCUUGGCAUGUAUAGGGCUGUUAUACAAACCUUGCUAUUUUGCUGUUCAUGUCAUUUUGCUAGAUCUUUUUAAUGAUUGCUUGUUUUAUGUUUUGUUAAUUCGAAGUAAAAUUGAUCAGUUGUUUAUUUCUUGUAAUAGGUAUAUGAAUAUGGACAAGAGUUGGAUGCAAUUAGAUCGGUUUCCUGAAAAUCUUUUGCGGUACUUUCCUUUAAAACCAAAACUUCAGAGAUUGUUUAUGUCAAGGAUGACAGCUGAAGAUAUGCGGCGGCACAAGGAAAAACGAGUUCCAGAAGUUAUGAUCUUGCUGUGGCAGUGCUGCUGCUGAUAGUCUAUAUAAUCUUGCUUUUAUACUUCUUGUUAUGAAAUGAUUUACAAAUAGAAUCUCAUUUUUAGACAUUCUCUACAUAUUGUGAAUACAGGGGAGUUCUUAUGAUAUUGUACAUGAACUGAAUAUGAGGUCUUAAUUCAGAGCAAUUUCUUUCUCUGUUCAGGACAAAUUAUUUGAAUAAAAAUGAUUUAUAUCAAUCUGUAGACUUU